CAACUCGAAUUUCAAUAAAAAAUGGCAGAAAAGAACCAAUUUAGGAUUCAUCAGAAAGACAAAUUCAUUUAAUUUUGGUUAUUUAAUUCGUCUCCCUCCCAGACAAAUUCACGAAACCCCCAAAAAAUUCAAAUUUAAUUAAUAUUAAUUUCUUGGUCGUCAAUCUGAGAUGGCAUGGCAGAGCGAGGAGAAGAUGUCGAAAUCAACUGAACAGCUUCGCAGAUAGAUGGGUAAGUGGGA
Molecule: unclassified non-coding RNA, 240 nt
Filed under: Hevea brasiliensis (rubber tree)
Lineage: Eukaryota; Viridiplantae; Streptophyta; Magnoliopsida; Malpighiales; Euphorbiaceae
Source: RNAcentral